GUGCUCGCUUUGGCAGCACAUAUGCUAAAAUUGGAACAAUACAGAGAAGAUUAAAAUGGCCCCUGUGCAAGGAUUUUAUGCAUGUUCUGUUGAUCUCUAUUUGGUU
Small nuclear RNA from Ochotona curzoniae (black-lipped pika), 106 nucleotides. The record is from RefSeq and is a predicted model, not a curated record. Lineage: Eukaryota; Metazoa; Chordata; Mammalia; Lagomorpha; Ochotonidae.